Rhopalosiphum padi (bird cherry-oat aphid) is the source of this 672-nucleotide long non-coding RNA. RefSeq lists it as uncharacterized. The record is from RefSeq and is a predicted model, not a curated record. The transcript has 4 exons. NCBI's taxonomy places the organism in Eukaryota, Metazoa, Arthropoda, Insecta, Hemiptera, Aphididae.
UACAUGACGUAUAGGUGAACAAAAUAAGUCACGGCUGGUUAUAUUAUAUUAUAUUGCACUCGCAUUAUACAAAAUGUGUACUAAUGUUACAAUAUAAUAAAAGUGUAAUUAAAAAUAAUUUCAUUAAAAAAAUAAUUUUUUACAGUAAUUUAAAGCAUAAUCACUCUGCACGUACUUCAAUGUAUCAUGGUGUGAAUUGCAUACGAAGAUAUCAUGCAUAAGUACGAGUUACAAUAACAAGAUACUACACAUUAUUGCGCUUGAUCUCAUUCAACCUAAUAUCAGGUAAGCAAUGAAUUAAUGUCGAGGAACUAACUAAAUAUUAAUUUUCGCGUGAACAAAAUACUGAAAUCUAAACCAUUUCCGUGAGCGAUCAUAUUAAAAACCUACUGCAAUUCGUAAAGCUAACUAUUCCAGACUUAUUAAUAUUCAAGAUAAAAUUCAGUGUCUAUGACGUGUCAGAAAGCAUAUUCCUCAGUUGUUCUCAUUGCAUACUUUCAGUUGUUCGUUGUGUACGUAUUAAAUUGUAUAUAUAGUAAAAUUACAUUAUUAUGGCGACGCCGCUUGGGUCGCACAAAACUAAUAAGUGGCUGACGACACACAUUGUUAACAUUCAAUUAUGAACCCAUAAUAUUAUAAUUUCGUUAUUACAUUAAAUGCAUUUACAUCCCA